This 465-nucleotide ribosomal RNA is filed under the name Vreelandella stevensii. RNAcentral describes it as "partial 16S ribosomal RNA". It matches the Rfam family "Bacterial small subunit ribosomal RNA", at positions 338 to 795 of the family's 1533-position model. The record is from RNAcentral. Lineage: Bacteria; Pseudomonadati; Pseudomonadota; Gammaproteobacteria; Oceanospirillales; Halomonadaceae.
CCUACGGGAGGCAGCAGUGGGGAAUAUUGGACAAUGGGGGCAACCCUGAUCCAGCCAUGCCGCGUGUGUGAAGAAGGCCCUCGGGUUGUAAAGCACUUUCAGUGAGGAAGAACGCCUGGUGGUUAAUACCCAUCAGGAAAGACAUCACUCACAGAAGAAGCACCGGCUAACUCCGUGCCAGCAGCCGCGGUAAUACGGAGGGUGCGAGCGUUAAUCGGAAUUACUGGGCGUAAAGCGCGCGUAGGUGGCUUGAUAAGCCGGUUGUGAAAGCCCCGGGCUCAACCUGGGAACGGCAUCCGGAACUGUCAAGCUAGAGUGCAGGAGAGGAAGGUAGAAUUCCCGGUGUAGCGGUGAAAUGCGUAGAGAUCGGGAGGAAUACCAGUGGAGAAGGCGGCCUUCUGGACUGACACUGACACUGAGGUGCGAAAGCGUGGGUAGCAAACAGGAUUAGAUACCCGUGUAGUC